This 537-nucleotide ribosomal RNA is filed under the name Escherichia coli. RNAcentral's name for it is "partial 23S ribosomal RNA". It matches the Rfam family "Bacterial large subunit ribosomal RNA", at positions 418 to 957 of the family's 2925-position model. Lineage: Bacteria; Pseudomonadati; Pseudomonadota; Gammaproteobacteria; Enterobacterales; Enterobacteriaceae. The record is from RNAcentral.
CGGGACACGUGGUAUCCUGUCUGAAUAUGGGGGGACCAUCCUCCAAGGCUAAAUACUCCUGACUGACCGAUAGUGAACCAGUACCGUGAGGGAAAGGCGAAAAGAACCCCGGCGAGGGGAGUGAAAAAGAACCUGAAACCGUGUACGUACAAGCAGUGGGAGCCUCUUUAUGGGGUGACUGCGUACCUUUUGUAUAAUGGGUCAGCGACUUAUAUUCUGUAGCAAGGUUAACCGAAUAGGGGAGCCGAAGGGAAACCGAGUCUUAACUGGGCGUUAAGUUGCAGGGUAUAGACCCGAAACCCGGUGAUCUAGCCAUGGGCAGGUUGAAGGUUGGGUAACACUAACUGGAGGACCGAACCGACUAAUGUUGAAAAAUUAGCGGAUGACUUGUGGCUGGGGGUGAAAGGCCAAUCAAACCGGGAGAUAGCUGGUUCUCCCCGAAAGCUAUUUAGGUAGCGCCUCGUGAAUUCAUCUCCGGGGGUAGAGCACUGUUUCGGCAAGGGGGUCAUCCCGACUUACCAACCCGAUGCAAACUGC